Molecule: transfer RNA, 73 nt
Organism: Camelus ferus (Wild Bactrian camel)
Lineage: Eukaryota; Metazoa; Chordata; Mammalia; Artiodactyla; Camelidae
Rfam family: tRNA
About the family: Transfer RNA (tRNA) molecules are approximately 80 nucleotides in length. Their secondary structure includes four short double-helical elements and three loops (D, anti-codon, and T loops). Further hydrogen bonds mediate the characteristic L-shaped molecular structure. tRNAs have two regions of fundamental functional importance: the anti-codon, which is responsible for specific mRNA codon recognition, and the 3' end, to which the tRNAs corresponding amino acid is attached (by aminoacyl-tRNA synthetases). tRNAs cope with the degeneracy of the genetic code in two manners: having more than one tRNA (with a specific anti-codon) for a particular amino acid; and 'wobble' base-pairing, i.e. permitting non-standard base-pairing at the 3rd anti-codon position.
Source: Rfam
GAUGGCAUAGCUCAAAUGUUAGAGCACGUGCUUAGCAUGCCUGAGGUCCCGGGUUCAGUCCCCAGUGCCUCCA